Molecule: transfer RNA, 69 nt
Filed under: Cohaesibacter gelatinilyticus
Lineage: Bacteria; Pseudomonadati; Pseudomonadota; Alphaproteobacteria; Hyphomicrobiales; Cohaesibacteraceae
Rfam family: tRNA
About the family: Transfer RNA (tRNA) molecules are approximately 80 nucleotides in length. Their secondary structure includes four short double-helical elements and three loops (D, anti-codon, and T loops).
Source: Rfam by way of RNAcentral
GCACAAUGAGUUCGCGGCGAACGUCGGGGUGUUUCUCCGAAGGGGUGGGUUCGAUUCCCACAUUUUGCA